This 550-nucleotide long non-coding RNA is filed under the name Populus trichocarpa (black cottonwood). Its description in RNAcentral is "long non-coding RNA (PTRI_LNC001732)". The record is from RNAcentral. Lineage: Eukaryota; Viridiplantae; Streptophyta; Magnoliopsida; Malpighiales; Salicaceae.
CCAUUUUCAGUUUUAGGAUAAGAGAAUUUUGGGUUCAUUAUGUUCUUCCAUUUUCAGUUUCCCCGGUGAAUGAGCCUUGGGAAAUGUUUUUAAUAAGUGGUUGUAAAGAUGUAAUAACGCGACAUCAUUGGUGUUGUCAAUAGUGAUAGACAACAUUGACAAGCUGAGAUGAUAGAUUCCCCAAAAAUUCCUGCCUUCCAUUCUUGGCUGUUUUCUCCCUGGCUCGAGCUAACAGAUAGCAGUGAUAUGAUAUUCCUCUUUUCUUGCUAUCCGAUCACUAUUCCCUUUACCACAAAAGAAGAAGAAGAAGGAUAACAUGCUUCUGGAUGUAGCCCAGAUCUGCAACAACUCAGAUUGUGAUGUUAGAUAUGAAAUCACAUGUGAAAGAACAGUUACUGCUUUUUUUUUUGGGUCCAGCAUUAGCAUAUUAUCCAAUGCCCCUUUUGUUCACUUCUCUCUUUCCUAACAAAUCAUUCCUCCUCAAGAAAAAACAACAGAUCAGAAAGGAUUCAUGUUGAAUUCCACACCUUCAAGAUUAGCAACAACAAAC